UACGUAGGGUGCGAGCGUUGUCCGGAAUUAUUGGGCGUAAAGAGCUCGUAUGCGGUCAUGUGCGUGCGAUGUGAAAACUGGAGGCUUAACCUCCAGACGUCGACGGAAACCGCGCGGCUAGAGUCCGGAAGAGGAGAGUGGAAUUCCUGGUGUAGCGGUGAAAUGCGCAGAUAUCAGGAAGAACACCAAUGGCGAAGGCGGUUCUCUGGGCCUGUACUGACGCUGAGGAACGAAAGUGUGGGGAGCGAACAGG
RNAcentral lists this ribosomal RNA (253 nucleotides) under uncultured bacterium. RNAcentral's name for it is "partial 16S ribosomal RNA". It matches the Rfam family "Bacterial small subunit ribosomal RNA", at positions 524 to 776 of the family's 1533-position model. The record is from RNAcentral.